UAUGUGAUCGUCUCUCGCAUAUCAAUAAGCGGAGGAAAAGAAACUAACAAGGAUUCCCCUAGUAACGGCGAGUGAAGCGGGAAGAGCUCAAAUUUGAAAUCUUAAAGGGUUUCCCUUUACGAAUUGUAGUUUAAAGAAGUGUUUUCUGUUGAGGUUUUGGUAAAAGUUCUUUGGAAUAGGACAUCAUAGAGGGUGAGAAUCCCGUAUUUGACCUUUACUUUCAACUUUGUGAUACACUUUCAAAGAGUCGGAUUGUUUGGGAAUGCAGUCCAAAAUGGGUGGUAAAUUUCAUCUAAAGCUAAAUAUUGGCGAGAGACCGAUAGCGAACAAGUACCGUGAGGGAAAGAUGAAAAGAACUUUGAAAAGAGAGUUAAACAGUACGUGAAAUUGUCAAAAGGGAAGCGUUUGACACCAGUGUUGUUUUUCUGAAAAUCCAAUUAAAGAACUGUUUAUGCUAAGUUGUUUAGACUUUAUCAGCUAACUGUUUAGUUUUGAGCUUUUCUUUAAUGCACUUUUCAGUUAACAAGUCAACAUCAAUUUCUUUUGCUGUAAAAAAGCUUGAGGAAGGUGGCUUGAGAUUCGUCUUAAGUGUUUAUAGCCUCUUGCCUAUGCAGUCGGAGAGAUUGAGGUCUGCAGCGUAGAUCCUUCGGGGCUAAAUGCAUUUGUGCUAAGUUAUAACAUUUUAUAGACAACUUGUUGACUAUGAUUUGUCUUGUAGCUUACUCGCUUAUGUUAUUUUACCUACGCUUAGGAUGUUGAGUAGCGACAUACGCAC
RNAcentral lists this ribosomal RNA (775 nucleotides) under uncultured Neocallimastigales. Its description in RNAcentral is "partial large subunit ribosomal RNA". It matches the Rfam family "Eukaryotic large subunit ribosomal RNA", at positions 24 to 649 of the family's 3401-position model. Lineage: Eukaryota; Fungi; Neocallimastigomycota; Neocallimastigomycetes; Neocallimastigales. The record is from RNAcentral.